UGGCGUACGGGUGCGUAACACGUAGGUAAUCAACCCUCAAGGCGGGCAUAACUGUGAGAAAUCAUGGCUAAUUCCCGAUGAUGCAGCGGCACCGCAGGGUGACAGUUGUUAAAGCUUCCAAAAGAGGCGCUUGAGGACGAGCCUGCGGCCCAUUAGGUAGUUGGCGGGGUAACGGCCCACCAAGCCCGCGAUGGGUAGCCGGUCUGAGAGGAUGAUCGGCCACAUUGGGACUGAGACACGGCCCAGACUCCUACGGGAGGCAGCAGUGAGGAAUAUUGCUCAAUGGGCGAAAGCCUGAAGCAGCAACGCCGCGUGCGGGAUGAAGGCGCUCUGCGUCGUAAACCGCUGUAGGACGGGAAAAAUGCCCUUCUUUGAAGGGAGCGAUGGUACCGUCAAAGUAAGCCUCGGCUAACUACGUGCCAGCAGCCGCGGUAAUACGUAGGAGGCAAGCGUUGUCCGGAAUCACUGGGUGUAAAGGGUGCGCAGGCGGGGAAGUAAGUCAGAGGUGAAAGCCCACGGCUCAACCGUGGAACUGCCUUUGAUACUGCUUCUCUUGAGUUCGGGAGAGGGUGGUGGAAUUCCUGGUGUAGCGGUGAAAUGCGUAGAUAUCAGGAAGAACACCAGUGGCGAAGGCGGCCACCUGGCCCGUAACUGACGCUCAGGCACGAAAGCGUGGGUAGCAAACAGGAUUAGAUACCCUGGUAGUCCACGCCCUAAACUAUGAGUACUUGAUGUUGGCGUCGAAGGGCGUCAGUGUCGUAUGUAACCCGAUAGUACUCCACCUGGGAAGUACGCUCGCAAGGGUGAACUCAAGGAAUUGACGGGGGCCCGCACAAGCGGUGGAACAUGUGGUUUAAUUCG
Molecule: ribosomal RNA, 861 nt
Filed under: uncultured bacterium
Lineage: Bacteria
Description: bacterial SSU rRNA
Rfam family: Bacterial small subunit ribosomal RNA
Source: RNAcentral